CCGCUGGUCGUCUAGUUGGUUUAUGGCGCCAGACUGUAAUUUUCUCCAUUGUAUAUCUGGAAGUCGGCGGUUCGACUCCGCCCCAGCGGA
Molecule: non-coding RNA, 90 nt
Organism: Arachnomyces sp. PD_36
Lineage: Eukaryota; Fungi; Ascomycota; Eurotiomycetes; Onygenales; Arachnomycetaceae
Source: the annotation of a GenBank genome assembly